RNAcentral lists this ribosomal RNA (253 nucleotides) under uncultured bacterium. Its description in RNAcentral is "partial 16S ribosomal RNA". It matches the Rfam family "Bacterial small subunit ribosomal RNA", at positions 524 to 776 of the family's 1533-position model. The record is from RNAcentral.
UACGUAGGGCGCAAGCGUUGUCCGGAAUUAUUGGGCGUAAAGAGCUCGUAGGCGGUUUGUCGCGUCUGUCGUGAAAGCUUGGGGCUUAACCCCGGGUCUGCAUUCGAUACGGGCAGGCUAGAGUGUGGUAGGGGAGAUCGGAAUUCCUGGUGUAGCGGUGAAAUGCGCAGAUAUCAGGAGGAACACCGGUGGCGAAGGCGGAUCUCUGGGCCAUUACUGACGCUGAGGAGCGAAAGCGUGGGGAGCGAACAGG